This 372-nucleotide ribosomal RNA is filed under the name uncultured organism. RNAcentral's name for it is "partial 16S ribosomal RNA". It matches the Rfam family "Bacterial small subunit ribosomal RNA", at positions 527 to 896 of the family's 1533-position model. The record is from RNAcentral.
GUAGGUGGCAAGCGUUGUCCGGAAUUAUUGGGCGUAAAGCGCGCGCAGGGCGGUCCUUUAAGUCUGAUGUGAAAGCCCACGGCUCAACCGUGGAGGGUCAUUGGAAACUGGGGGACUUGAGUACAGAAGAGGAAAGCGGAAUUCCAAGUGUAGCGGUGAAAUGCGUAGAGAUUUGGAGGAACACCAGUGGCGAAGGCGGCUUUCUGGUCUGUAACUGACGCUGAGGCGCGAAAGCGUGGGGAGCAAACAGGAUUAGAUACCCUGGUAGUCCACGCCGUAAACGAUGAGUGCUAAGUGUUAGGGGGUUUCCGCCCCUUAGUGCUGCAGCUAACGCAAUAAGCACUCCGCCUGGGGAGUACGGCCGCAAGGCUG